This 466-nucleotide ribosomal RNA is filed under the name uncultured bacterium. Its description in RNAcentral is "partial 16S ribosomal RNA". It matches the Rfam family "Bacterial small subunit ribosomal RNA", at positions 28 to 507 of the family's 1533-position model. The record is from RNAcentral.
GAUGAACGCUGGCGGCGUGCUUAACACAUGCAAGUCGAACGAUGAAGCCCAGCUUGCUGGGUGGAUUAGUGGCGAACGGGUGAGUAACACGUGAGUAACCUGCCCUUGACUCUGGGAUAAGCCCGGGAAACUGGGUCUAAUACCGGAUAGGAGCGCCUGUCGCAUGACGGGUGUUGGAAAGAUUUUUCGGUCAUGGAUGGACUCGCGGCCUAUCAGCUUGUUGGUGAGGUAAUGGCUCACCAAGGCGACGACGGGUAGCCGGCCUGAGAGGGUGACCGGCCACACUGGGACUGAGACACGGCCCAGACUCCUACGGGAGGCAGCAGUGGGGAAUAUUGCACAAUGGGCGGAAGCCUGAUGCAGCGACGCCGCGUGAGGGAUGACGGCCUUCGGGUUAUAAACCUCUUUCAGUAGGGAAGAAGCGAAAGUGACGGUACCUGCAGAAGAAGCACCGGCUAACUACGUG